RNAcentral lists this small RNA (29 nucleotides) under Bombyx mori (domestic silkworm). Its description in RNAcentral is "ovarian small RNA-30884". The record is from RNAcentral. Lineage: Eukaryota; Metazoa; Arthropoda; Insecta; Lepidoptera; Bombycidae.
UGAAGACCGACGUAUUUACCGAAGACCUC